GCCUAAUGGAAUAAGUGGAAGGUAUUGGUAACAAUAUCCAGAAAGGAAAUCAUGUUCUUAAGUGAAUACAGCUGGAAGGCAAAGGACUCCCGUGAGGGGUGGGGCAUGGCGGGCUCCAGUAAACAAAGUUUUCUCCUGCUGGCACCAAAGCAGCCUGCUGGUUCCCACACUUGUUUGCUCAUGCGCUCCCUCCCAUGAAGAGUUGAACACUUCAGGCUGAGUAAUCAGGACACCCUGUCGCGAGUCCUGUGAAGGGGUCAAGAAAAUAUCCUGCAUCAUUUGGGGGCUCAUGUGGGAUUCAUCAGAAGAGUAUUGCAACUGAGGCUUAGAAAAGUUAAAUGUUUUUGCCAAAGAGGUCCAACUGCUGGAUUUCUGAACAAUUUGAAUGAUAACAUUUAAAAAAUGAAAGAUGAAACUGUAACAUUGUCUUUAUUACUGGAAAAACAAACAAAAACAAAAAAGCAAGUUAGAAGACCUGGCCUUAGGCCAUGGCUCUGUAUCAUGAAGUAUCUCCACAUUGAGGAAGAGGACCUGGAGAUUCCACAAAACCUCUUUCCUAGGGGCAGCUCACAAACAAAAAAGGGAGAGUAAGAGGGUUAAGCCUCUUCAAUGGGUGUGUGAUUAAGGUAAAAUCUCCCUUAAAAAAUGGGAUUAUCCCAGCAACUGAUGAAGCUGAGCAUGGAAAAGCAAGAUUGCAGCUUGGAAGUCUGUAACUAGAAGGGACAGAAUUCUUUAUCUGCAU
RNAcentral lists this long non-coding RNA (742 nucleotides) under Homo sapiens (human). Its description in RNAcentral is "HSALNT0178984". Lineage: Eukaryota; Metazoa; Chordata; Mammalia; Primates; Hominidae. The record is from RNAcentral.